Molecule: ribosomal RNA, 557 nt
Filed under: Hesperomyces parexochomi
Lineage: Eukaryota; Fungi; Ascomycota; Laboulbeniomycetes; Laboulbeniales; Laboulbeniaceae
Description: SSU rRNA
Rfam family: Eukaryotic small subunit ribosomal RNA
Source: RNAcentral
GCUUUUGACGGGUAACGGGGAAUUAGGGUUCGACUCCGGAGAGGGAGCCUGAGAAACGGCUACCACAUCCAAGGAAGGCAGCAGGCGCGCAAAUUACCCAAUCCCGAUACGGGGAGGUAGUGACAAGAAAUACCGAUUCAGGAUCUUAUUGGAUCUUGAGAUUGGAAUGAGUACAAUUCAAACCCAUUAACGAGGAACAACUAGAGGGCAAGUCUGGUGCCAGCAGCCGCGGUAAUUCCAGCUCUAGUAGCGUAUAUUAAAAUUGUUGCAGUUAAAACGCUCGUAGUUGAACUUUGGGCUUGGCUGGCUGGUCCGCCUCACCGCGUGCACUGGUCCGGCUGGGCCUUUCCUCUUGGGGAUCCACAUGCCCUUCACUUGGGUGUGUUGGGGAACCAGGACUUUUACUUUGAAAAAAUUAGGGUGUUCAAAGCAGGCAUUUGCUCGAAUACAUUAGCAUGGGAUAAUAGAAUAGGACGUGUGGUCUUAUUUUGUUGGUUUCUAGGACCGCCGUAAUGAUUGAUAGGGAUAGUUGGGGGCAUCGGUAUUCAAUUGUCAGA